CCUAUUAUGCCUCCCCCACCCCCGCCAAGGGCUCCAGAGGUCCCGCCUGGGUGUUUUAUCCAUUUCCCACCCCCGCCAGAGGCUCCAGAGGUCCCGCCUGGGUCGUCAUGCCUCCCCCACCCCCGCCAAGGGCUCCAGAGGCCCCGCCUGGGUCGUCAUGCCUCUCCCACCCCCGCCAAGGGCUCCAGAGGCCCCGCCUGGCCUGUUAUGCCUCCCCCACCCCCGCCAAGAGCUCCAGAGGUCCCGCCUGUGUGUUUUAUCCAUUUCCCACCCCCGCCAGAGGCUCCAGAGGUCCCGCCUGGGUGUUUUAUCCAUUUCCCACCCCCGCCAAGGGCUCCAGAGGCCCCGCCUGGCUCGUUAUGCCUCCCCUACCCCCGCCAAGGGCUCCAGAGGCCCUGCCUGGCUCGUUAUGCCUUCCCCAUUCCCGCCAAGGGCUCCAAAGGUCCCGCCUAGGUGUAUUGGGCCUCCUGGGGAAAAGAUGAAAUAAAAAUAAAAUGAAGACAGAUGAACAAAAAAAAAAAAAUGGGGAAAAAAUAAUAAUAAAAGAGAAAUAAAAGAAAAAAAAAUAAAUGAAUAAAUACAUUUUAUUGGUUUUUAUUUUAUUUUACUUUAUUUUACUCAACAGAGGGUGGAGGUUUGUCAUUUCUAAGCCAGGCUCCUGUGCAUGAUCCUCGGGUGCAUCAACCAGGCGGGAUCUCUGGUUCUCCACCACUGCCACUUGGCUCAGCUUUUCUGUCCAGC
Long non-coding RNA from Betta splendens (Siamese fighting fish), 741 nucleotides. RefSeq lists it as uncharacterized. NCBI's taxonomy places the organism in Eukaryota, Metazoa, Chordata, Actinopteri, Anabantiformes, Osphronemidae. The transcript is spliced from 3 exons. The record is from RefSeq and is a predicted model, not a curated record.